Molecule: ribosomal RNA, 497 nt
Filed under: uncultured bacterium
Lineage: Bacteria
Description: partial 16S ribosomal RNA
Rfam family: Bacterial small subunit ribosomal RNA
Source: RNAcentral
GAUGAACGCUGGCGGCGUGCCUAAUACAUGCAAGUCGAGCGAACAGACGAGGAGCUUGCUCCUCUGACGUUAGCGGCGGACGGGUGAGUAACACGUGGAUAACCUACCUAUAAGACUGGGAUAACUUCGGGAAACCGGAGCUAAUACCGGAUAAUAUAUUGAACCGCAUGGUUCAAUAGUGAAAGACGGUUUUGCUGUCACUUAUAGAUGGAUCCGCGCCGCAUUAGCUAGUUGGUAAGGUAACGGCUUACCAAGGCAACGAUGCGUAGCCGACCUGAGAGGGUGAUCGGCCACACUGGAACUGAGACACGGUCCAGACUCCUACGGGAGGCAGCAGUAGGGAAUCUUCCGCGAUGGGCGAAAGCCUGACGGAGCAACGCCGCGUGAGUGAUGAAGGUCUUCGGAUCGGAAAACUCUGUUAUUAGGGAAGAACAAAUGUGUAAGUAACUAUGCACGUCUUGACGGUACCUAAUCAGAAAGCCACGGCUAACUACGUG